GUGAGGAAUAUUGGUCAAUGGGCGGGAGCCUGAACCAGCCAAGUCGCGUGAAGGAAGAAGGAUCUAUGGUUCGUAAACUUCUUUUGCAGGGGAAUAAAGUGCAGGACGUGUCCUGUUUUGUAUGUACCCUGAGAAUAAGGAUCGGCUAACUCCGUGCCAGCAGCCGCGGUAAUACGGAGGAUCCGAGCGUUAUCCGGAUUUAUUGGGUUUAAAGGGUGCGUAGGUGGUUUGAUAAGUCAGCGGUGAAAGUUUGCAGCUUAACUGUAAAAAUGCCGUUGAAACUGUCGGACUUGAGUGUAAAUGAGGUAGGCGGAAUGCGUGGUGUAGCGGUGAAAUGCAUAGAUAUCACGCAGAACUACGAUUGCGAAGGCAGCUUACUAAGCUACAACUGACACUGAAGCACGAAAGCGUGGGGAUCAAACAGGAUUAGAAACCCUGGUAGUCC
RNAcentral lists this ribosomal RNA (445 nucleotides) under uncultured bacterium. Its description in RNAcentral is "partial 16S ribosomal RNA". It matches the Rfam family "Bacterial small subunit ribosomal RNA", at positions 354 to 796 of the family's 1533-position model. The record is from RNAcentral.